GGCCCUGUAGUUUAAUGGAUAAAAUAAAGGAUUCCGGUUCCUUAGCUGUGGGUUCGAUUCCCGCCAGGGUCACAA
Molecule: transfer RNA, 75 nt
Filed under: Dysgonomonas mossii
Lineage: Bacteria; Pseudomonadati; Bacteroidota; Bacteroidia; Bacteroidales; Dysgonomonadaceae
Also listed under: 1 other name
Description: tRNA-Arg
Rfam family: tRNA
About the family: Transfer RNA (tRNA) molecules are approximately 80 nucleotides in length. Their secondary structure includes four short double-helical elements and three loops (D, anti-codon, and T loops).
Source: RNAcentral